UUUUUUUUUUUUUGAUGUGUUUUUUGGAGAAGAUAAGUGUCAUGUCUUGCUCCUCUGCCAUCUUGAUCCUUCCCCUCACAUGUUCUCUUGUUUUAAUUGGUUCCUCCUUCCAACUUCAUGAUGUUUUGUUGAGUCUGUCAUUCAUUGUAAUCACCAUGGCUAAGAUACUCAUGGUCAGACAUAAUAUCAGUGUUCCAUCUGAAUCUUCAAGAUAUUUUUUUUAUAAAAAGAGUUAAAUGAGAAAGGGCCUGUCAGGUAUUCUAUCUUAUUGCUUUCCAUCAGGUUUAAGUCUGUCAGUGAUAAUCCCUCCCUUCCUUGAAAUUGGUCCUAACCAGAUUUGCCAAUGAUCAUUCUUUUCCUUCAUUUACAGCAUCAGCUGUAGUAGAAGGAACUAGCCCUGAGCUACCACAGUAUUUAGAUGUUCUCUUAAAAUUGGUUUAUCUAUUAUCCCAAACAUACCCACCUUUUGCCAUCCAGUCCCGUGCAUCAAAUGAAGUUUAAGUUGCCUAGAGAAGUUUCAUGCAAAUACAGCAGCAAACUGAGUAGACAAUAAUUCCUACUUUAUAUGCUACAGAUCCUCUACAUUUGAUCUGAUCCCUUUCUUAAAGCUGCAGCAGCAGAAACAAAGAUACCAAGGCACAUACAAGGCUAAGUACAUUGAGAGACAUUUAAACACAUAAAAAUCCCCUAUGCCAUUUUAUAAUUAUAGAUAUUUAUAAUUAAUUUGUAUUGAUGUAUUCAAAUAAGUAUUCUCAUUUAUUAAUGCUCUAAUUUGCCAUUUUAAAUUAAAAAACUUAAAGGCCUGAAGUAUUAUUGGAGAUCCUAUUUAUUGGGACUAUAUAGUCAGUCAACUAUACAAUAGAAUCAGUGAUAACAGAAAUUUUCACUGCAUCUCAUAAACAUAACUACUUUAUGCCACUAUUUUUCCCCUCUUAGCUUAACUCAAUUUGAAUUAAGAUAUUGAGAGAAGCAUCUUCUGCAAGAAACAUUGUUUAAAUCUAAAGGCAAAAACAUGAUAUCAGUAUUACAAAAUAAUACCAUCUUACUGUCAUAUUUUCCAUGAUAGAAAGUCAAAUUCCUUUCCAGGAAUGAGGAUGUAUCCAGGGUGAGGAAAGUAAUUAAGCAAAGAACUAAGAAAUAUAAGCAUUUUCUUACAUUCCUCUUGCAUAUUUUCUAUAUAAAUUGGCAUAAAGUCCCUUCCAGACCACUUUCCAUUAUGUGUCAUCAUAUUUAGAAGUUCUAGAAGAGUAGGACCACAUCAUACUGAUUAGCUCUGAAUGGUACCUAAGCAUCCAUAAAAUUCAUUAAUAAAUCUUUUGAAGACAAUUAAUGUAGAGUCUCUGUCAUUUUAUUUUUGGUCUAUAAAUAUUUGUUCUGUUUUCUUACAGCUGACAAAGAAUUCUUUUGUACAUUAUCUCAUUUGAUUGUCACAAUUAUUUGGUACUGUAGAAGGGAAAAUAGAACCCUUAUUUUACAGAUGGUUAAUCUGAAGUUAGAAGAGAUUGUUGUGUUCAGGGCAGGGGGUAGUAGACUCCUUAUUAAAUUGGAAUAUUUGAGGUAUUAUGAGCAUGGGAAAUGUCAGAAAAGAUAUAUAAGUACAUUCCAAGAUUUAAAACUGUGAAAUUAUUUAAUUUUAUAGUUGUUGCCUUAAAUACACUAGACAAUAGAAUUAAAAUACAUUUUCAGUGUAUAGUAGCUGUCAACACAGAGUGAAUCAUGUGCGUUGUUUAUAUACUAAUUGUCUAAAAAUAUUAUUGGUUAAUAGAACAUGGCCAAGAAAAAAGAGCAUUAAGUGAAAUAUAUUUCUGACACUUGAGGAAGAUUCUAAAAUGUCUUGUGGGAGAAAAAUCAUAAAAAUUUAAGCUCAUUUGUAAACAUGACCUCUUCUUUCAGUUCUUGUACCUAAUGGGGUAGUAGUGAAUAUUUAACAAACAGCUCUCUGGGGAAAAAAUCAAAAGGCCUGACUUGAGCAUUUGCCAAUUUAUGUGGUGUAAAUACUUGCACCACAGCUGAUCUCAAGCUACUAAAAUUUUAAUAACUGGCUUAUAAAACUCCUAGAAUUUCUAUGAUUGGUUUUCAUAGUUUAUGCAAGGUGGCUCUGGCAUACCAUUGUGUGGAGCUGCAUAACAUGUCUCAGCAUCUCCACUCAUGUGUCUGAUAAUCAUCUAAAACCUCACAUGCUCUCUUUUUCCUGUGGUCCUCUUUAUCUCCAUUAGCAACAACUCCAUCCUUCUCACUGUUCAUACCAAUAUCCUGGGUGCAAUCCCUGACUAUUUUUCUCACAUGCCUUUUUAAGUCUGUCAGAAUAUCUGGUAGGCACUACCUUUAGAAUAUAUCCAGAUUCCAGGGUUCCUGUUUGUGGCUCAAUGAGUUAAGAACCCAACCUAGUGUCCAUGAAGAUGCAGCUUUAAUUUCUGGAUCACUCAGUGGGUUAAGGUCUGGUGUGGCCACAUGCUGCAGCAUAGUUUGCAGAUGUGGCUUGGAUCUGUCAUCGCUAUGGCUGUGGUGUAGCUGCAGUUCCAACUUGAACCCUAGCCUUGGAACUUCCAUUUGCUGCAGGUGCAACUAUAAAAAGGUAAAAGAAAAAAAAAGUUCCAAACACUCUUGACAAUGCCCAUUGCUCAGUCCUGGAUCCUAGUCAUUAUCCUCUUUUUCCUGAUUUAUCGCAUUAGCCUCCUGUACUUGUCACGGUAAAGCUUUCUAGGUGCUGUAACAUCCCUAACUCCCUAUGGCCUAGUGUAAUCAAACUUAUUUCUUACUCACCUUAUUGUUUGAGUAACUCUCCUCUAAGUUACUCCUUGGGCAUCUAUGCUGCUUCCUUCAUGUCACUACUAUUCAAGAGUUCUUAGAGUUCCUGGUAUCUCAGUGGGUUAAGUAUUCAGUGUUGUCUUUACUGUGGCAUUGGUUUAAUCUCUGGUCCAGGAACUUCUACAUACUGUGGGCAUGGCAAAAAAGAAGAGUUCUUAGCUUCCAGCCCCACAGAAAGUAGGAAAGGAAAGCAAAUAAAAGCAUGGCACCUUGCAGGAACCAGGCCUGUAUAUCUCUUCCACUCACAUUCUUCUUUUUUUUUUUUUUUUUUUUUGCUGCACCCUUGGAAUAUGGAAGUUUCAGGGCAAGUGAUUAAACCUGUGAAUCUGUGGCAAGAGACCGACCCAAGCCAUAGCAGCGAUGACACCAGAUUCUUAACUCAGCGAGCCACAAGGAAACUCCCCUACUGUCCAGAACUAGGCAGGUGGCACUGCCCAGAUACAAAGGGGCUGGAAAAAGUAGUCUUCCUGUGCACUAGGAAGAAACUGAAGCUGUUUGAGUCAACAGGUAACAUUGUCUGCAUCAUGUCUUCUCUGCUCCUACCCAUCCUUGACUUCUCUAGUUUAUCCUCAACACAGCAGGCAUUAAACAAUCAAACUAUAAGCUAGAUUAUUCCUCCCUCUGCUUAAAAAUCACCCAGUGGCUUAUUUUAUAACUCAUGAAAGGUGAAUGAGAAAGUACUAGUUUCCUAGGGCUGACAUAAAAGAUUACCACAAACUGUAUGACUUACAAUAGAAGUUUAUUUUAUCACCAAACUUAUUGUGGAGCCAGAAAUACAAAACCAAAGUGUUGGCAGGGCAAUGCUUCUUCUGAAGACUGAAGGGUAGGGAGGAUCCUUCUUUUCCACUUCCUACCUCCUGUUUGUUGCUGCGGAUCCUUGGCUUCUUUGGCUUGUAACUCCGUUUUUCUAAAACCUACCUCUGUCUUCACAUGCUGUUCUCCUCUGUAUGUGUGUCUGUGUUCCCACAUGCCUUUCUUAUAAGGACAGCACUUACUGGAUUUAGAGUCCUCCCUAAUCCAAUAUGACCUUGUCUUCACUAAUUGCAUUUGAGGUUUCCUAUUUCUAAAUGAGGAAAUAAGUCACAUUCUGAUAUUGUAGGUAGAAAUGAAACUUGGAGGGACACGCUUCAAUCUAAGAUAGGCAGUUCAUAUUCUUACUCAAAAUUCUUCAUCUCCUCCCCACCAAGUCUCUUUUCACCUCUCAUGCAUCUUCUAGAAUGUCCAUAUCAUUCUAGAAACUUCCAGUGUUCUCAAGAGGUGAAACAGGAAGCAUAGGCAUCAGUCUUCUAAUCUCAAGGUUUUUCUAUUUGUGGAGUGAAAAAUUAGAACCAAAACCCUGAGAUCCUUUCCAACUAGGCAAGUGUAAAAUGAUCUUUUCUUCACUGCAAAUAUCUGUGAGUAUUCAGAGGGACACUAAUUCGAGUAGUGUUGAUCUCAUGUGAAAGGAACAAGAUUGCAAAUACCAAGUAAGCAUUUUCAAUAUGUUGAUAAAUGUGUGAAACUCCUAUGGCAGGUGCAAGAGAUAGUGCCAAUUAAGAAUUAGCUGCCAUCCACAUUUAUAGUUUGUGUUGUUGACUCCAGCAGUUUGCUAUUGCCUAUUAAAGCAGGAGUUGACAGGUAAAUUUCCUCUGCUGGAUUCUUCUAUAGGUCAGAAAACAGUCCUGCACAGCUUUUGAAAUCUAUCCAAACUGUUUAAUGAGUCCUUCCUUGGCUGUAGAUGCUGUAAUUCAACCCUUCUGUUGGGUUAAAAACUUGUUAAAAGUCUAACUAUGACUUUCAGUGGUUGUUCAGGAAUCAUAGAAAUUCACACUUUUCACUGAAAGAGAUGGGAAAGUUCACCUGGUCAUUCUUUUAUUUCUUUUAUGACUGCAGCAUAUGGACAUUCCCUGGGCUAGGGGUCGAAUCAGAGCUGCAGCUGCAGGCCUACAUCACAGCCACAGCAAUGCCAGAUCUGAGCCACAUCUGUGACCUAUGCUGAAGCUUAUGGCAAUGCUGGAUUUAACCCAUGAAGCAAGGCCAGGGAUCAAACCUGCAUCCUCAUGGAUACUAUUUUGGGUUCUUAAACUAUGAGCCACAACAGGAACUCCACACCUGAUCGAUCUUGUCACAUUUAAAACUUGUGUCCCUGCUACAUCCCUGUCAGUGGGUCACCCAUGAUGCUCUGAGAAGCUCAUUUCUCCAAGAAUGGCUCUGACUCUCAGAAAUUUCUUUCUGUUAAUUAUUAGAAUCUGUGAUUUGGUCAUGUCAAUUACAGAGUCAUUUUUAGGUAUUUGAGCAGAAUCUUGACCUCUUGAUCCAGAUCCCAAGAUAGAUGCCAUUUGUACAUCCCCCUCACUUAGAUGCACUGGGAUUCCAGUUGGAGAGAGGGAUUUUCCCUGCAGGGUAGCCCCACACUCAGGCGUCUACAGGGAUCUCACCAGCCUGGUAAUGCAACACUUACCCUCCACCAAACGGUGGCCUCAAACCUGCCAAGUGAGGAGCACCUUUUCACCAAAAGGCUGCAGACUCAUUUAGAGAAGUGAUUAUCUCACUUGAAAGUGUAUGUGAAUUACCACCGAUCUUGGUAAAGUGAAAAUUCUUAUCCUGUAGAUAGAGCCUGAUGUUCUUCAUAUCUUAUAAGUUCUCGUGCAUUGGUAAUAAACCGUCAUAAGAAUGUAUAGAUUGUAUUAGGGUUUUUGUUCUAAACUAAAGUUGAAAUUCUGCAUUUCCGUGCCAUUAACAGUUAUGACUAGAAAAAAAAAAACAGAUUAUGACAAAUUUGGCAUCUUAAAAAUACAGACAUUGGUUCUUUUUACAGUUCUGGAGGCCAGAAGCCUGGUAUCAUUGUCAGUGGACUGAAAUGUAGGUGUCAACAGGAAGAUGCUCUCUCCAGAGGUUCUAGAGAAGGAUUUAUUUUUGCCUCUUCCAGCUUAUGCUGGCUGCCAGUAUUCCCUGCCUCAUGGUUGCCUCACUCCAAUCUCUGCCUUUGUAGCCACUUUGCCCUUUCGUUUUGUCUGAAAUCUCCUCUGCCUCAUUUUUAUAAGGAUAUCUAGGAUUGCACUUAGAAACUACCUAGAUUAUCCAGAAUAACCUCCUCAUGUCAAGGUCCUUAACAUAAUCACAGGACUUUCCACUGAGGUGCAAUGAGUUAAGACUCUGACUGCAGUGGCUUGGGCUGCUGCAGAGGUACGAGUUCAAUCCCCAGCCCAUGCAGUGGGUUAAAUGUUCUGGCACUGCCGCAUCGGCAAUGUAGGUCACAGCUGCAUCUUGAAUUCAGUCCCUCUCCCAGAACUUCCAUAUCCUGUGGGUGCAGCCAUUUAAAAAAAA
Molecule: long non-coding RNA, 6114 nt
Filed under: Sus scrofa (pig)
Lineage: Eukaryota; Metazoa; Chordata; Mammalia; Artiodactyla; Suidae
Description: lncRNA (ENSSSCG00000052164.1)
Source: RNAcentral